AUACGUAGGUGGCAAGCGUUGUCCGGAUUUACUGGGCGUAAAGGGUGCGUAGGUGGAUAUUUAAGUGAGAUGUGAAAUCCCCGGGCUUAACUUGGGGGCUGCAUUUCAAACUGGAUGUCUAGAGUGCAGGAGAGGAAAGCAGAAUUCCUAGUGUAGCGGUGAAACGCGUAGAGAUUAGGAAGAACACCAGUGGCGAAGGCGAUUCUCUGGACUGUAACUGACACUGAGGCACGAAAGCGUGGGUAGC
RNAcentral lists this ribosomal RNA (247 nucleotides) under uncultured bacterium. RNAcentral's name for it is "partial 16S ribosomal RNA". It matches the Rfam family "Bacterial small subunit ribosomal RNA", at positions 523 to 769 of the family's 1533-position model. The record is from RNAcentral.